RNAcentral lists this ribosomal RNA (459 nucleotides) under uncultured bacterium. RNAcentral's name for it is "partial 16S ribosomal RNA". It matches the Rfam family "Bacterial small subunit ribosomal RNA", at positions 338 to 795 of the family's 1533-position model. The record is from RNAcentral.
CCUACGGGGGGCAGCAGUGAGGAAUAUUGGUCAAUGGUCGGGAGACUGAACCAGCCAAGCCGCGUGAGGGAGGAAGGUACAGAGUAUCGUAAACCUCUUUUGUCAGGGAACAAAGGCGGGGACGUGUCCCCGGAUGAGUGUACCUGAAGAAAAAGCAUCGGCUAACUCCGUGCCAGCAGCCGCGGUAAUACGGAGGAUGCGAGCGUUAUCCGGUUUUAGGGGGUUUAAAGGGUGCGCAGGCGGGCUGUUAAGGCAGGGGUAAAAGCCCGGGGCUAAACCCCGGCCCGACGUUGAAACUGGCAGUCGCGAGUUGGAGAGAAGUAUGCGGAAUGCGCGGUGUAGCGGUGAAAUGCAUAGAUAUCGCGCAGAACUCCGAUUGCGAAGGCAGCAUGCCGGCUCCACACUGACGCUGAGGCACGAAAGCGUGGGUAUCGAACAGGAUUAGAUACCCUAGUAGUC